This 659-nucleotide ribosomal RNA is filed under the name Salmonella enterica subsp. enterica serovar Heidelberg. RNAcentral describes it as "partial 23S ribosomal RNA". It matches the Rfam family "Bacterial large subunit ribosomal RNA", at positions 711 to 1366 of the family's 2925-position model. Lineage: Bacteria; Pseudomonadati; Pseudomonadota; Gammaproteobacteria; Enterobacterales; Enterobacteriaceae. The record is from RNAcentral.
AGACCCGAAACCCGGUGAUCUAGCCAUGGGCAGGUUGAAGGUUGGGUAACACUAACUGGAGGACCGAACCGACUAAUGUUGAAAAAUUAGCGGAUGACCUGUGGCUGGGGGUGAAAGGCCAAUCAAACCGGGAGAUAGCUGGUUCUCCCCGAAAGCUAUUUAGGUAGCGCCUCGUGAAUUCAUCUCCGGGGGUAGAGCACUGUUUCGGCUAGGGGGCCAUCCCGGCUUACCAACCCGAUGCAAACUGCGAAUACCGGAGAAUGUUAUCACGGGAGACACACGGCGGGUGCUAACGUCCGUCGUGAAGAGGGAAACAACCCAGACCGCCAGCUAAGGUCCCAAAGUCAUGGUUAAGUGGGAAACGAUGUGGGAAGGCCCAGACAGCCAGGAUGUUGGCUUAGAAGCAGCCAUCAUUUAAAGAAAGCGUAAUAGCUCACUGGUCGAGUCGGCCUGCGCGGAAGAUGUAACGGGGCUAAACCAUGCACCGAAGCUGCGGCAGCGACGCUGAUGCGUUGUUGGGUAGGGGAGCGUUCUGUAAGCCUGCGAAGGUGACCUGUGAGGGUUGCUGGAGGUAUCAGAAGUGCGAAUGCUGACAUAAGUAACGAUAAAGCGGGUGAAAAGCCCGCUCGCCGGAAGACCAAGGGUUCCUGUCCAACGUU